UUCUGGUUGAUCCUGCCGGAGGCGACCGCUAUUGGAGUUCGAUUAAGCCAUGCGAGUCUAGAGGCUUAGGCCUCGGCGUACCGCUCAGUAACACGUGGAUAACCUGCCCUGUUCAGGGGGAUAACCUCGCGAAAGUGAGAAUAAUACCCCAUAGUUCACCAUGCCUGGAACGGUUGGUGGAUGAAAGCUCAGGCGGAACAGGAUGGGUCUGCGGCGUAUCAGGUAGUAGGGGGUGUAAUGGACCUCCUAGCCAUCGACGCGUACGGGUUGUGGGAGCAAUCGCCCGGAGAUGGAUUCUGAGACACGAAUCCAGACCCUACGGGGUGCAGCAGGCGCGAAAACUUGACAAUGCGAGAAAUCGUGAUCAGGGAACUCCAAUUGUCUCCGUUUUUACGGAGUUCUGAAUUGACUCUAAACAGGUCGAGUAAUAGGGGCGGGAAAUAUCGGUGCCAGCCGCCGCGGUAAUACCGAAGCCCCAAGUGGUCGUCGUUCUUAUUGGGCCUAAAACGUCCGUAGCCGGUUUGGUACAUUCGUGGGUAAAUCAGACAGCUUAACUGUCUGAAUUCUGCGAGCACGGCCAAACUUGAGACCGGGAGAGGUGUAGGGUACCUGCGGGGUAGGGGUAAAAUCCUGUCAUCCCGUAGGGACCACCAGUUGCGAAGGCUCUACACUAGAACGGAUCUGACGGUCAGGGACGAAGCCUAGGGGCACGAACCGGAUUAGAUACCCGGGUAGUCCUAGGUGUAAACGCUGUGGACUUUGUGUCGGGGAUUCUUCGAGGAUUCUCGGUGCCGGAGUGAAGAUGUUAAGUCCACUGCCUGGGGAGUACGGUCGCAAGGCUGAAACUUAAAGGAAUUGGCGGGGGAGCACUGCAACGAGAGGAGCGUGCGGUUUAAUUA
Molecule: ribosomal RNA, 899 nt
Filed under: uncultured archaeon
Lineage: Archaea
Description: bacterial SSU rRNA
Rfam family: Archaeal small subunit ribosomal RNA
Source: RNAcentral